CCUACGGGGGGCGGCAGUAGGGAAUAUUAGUUAAUGUGCGAAAGCGCGAACUAGCAACGCCGCGUGUGCGAUGAAGGCCUUCGGGUCGUAAAGCACUUUUCUAGGGGAUGAGGAAGGACAGUACCUUAGGAAUAAGCAUCGGCUAACUACGUGCCAGCAGCCCCGGUC
Molecule: ribosomal RNA, 168 nt
Filed under: uncultured bacterium
Lineage: Bacteria
Description: partial 16S rRNA
Rfam family: Bacterial small subunit ribosomal RNA
Source: RNAcentral